GUGCAGCAGUCGCGAAACCUUCGCAAUGCGGGAAACCGCGACGAGGGGACUCCCAGUGCCUACGCUCAGCGUAGGCUGUUCCCGAGCCUAGAAAGCUCGGGGAGUAAGGGCUGGGUAAGACGGGUGCCAGCCGCCGCGGUAAUACCCGCAGCCCGAGUGGUGGCCACUAUUAUUGGGCCUAAAGCGUCCGUAGCCGGCCCGGUAAAUGCCUGGGUAAAUCGUGAGGCCUAACCUCACGAAUUCCGGGUAGACUGCCGGGCUAGGGGACCGGAGGAGGGAGAGGGUACUCCAGGGGUAGGGGUGAAAUCCUGUAAUCCCUGGAGGACCACCGGUGGCGAAGGCGCUCUCCUAGGACGGGUCCGACGGUGAGGGACGAAAGCCAGGGGAGCGAACCGGAUUAGAUACCCGGGUAGU
RNAcentral lists this ribosomal RNA (414 nucleotides) under uncultured microorganism. Its description in RNAcentral is "bacterial SSU rRNA". It matches the Rfam family "Archaeal small subunit ribosomal RNA", at positions 330 to 745 of the family's 1478-position model. The record is from RNAcentral.